This is a long non-coding RNA of Ostrinia furnacalis (Asian corn borer), 1475 nucleotides long. RefSeq lists it as uncharacterized. The record is from RefSeq and is a predicted model, not a curated record. The transcript is spliced from 3 exons. Lineage: Eukaryota; Metazoa; Arthropoda; Insecta; Lepidoptera; Crambidae.
AUAAAAACAUUGAAUUCGAAUUAAAAAUUUACCUCUGCAAAUCAUAUAACCAAACGCAUAGAACGAAUGAAAUACGAGUUCCACUACCCGCCCCCAGGUGGCAUACAUACUUUAAGGCUAGGCAGGCUAAGUUGAAUACUACUCUACAAUAGGUGGCGUUAAUGGACUACGAAAAACGACGUGAAAUGAUUACUUCUUUUUAUUUAUUUAUACUUUAAUGCCAAAAUUUUAACCUAAGGCGAACUUAAUCUCACAUUUAAUAAAUUAUACAUAAAUAAGUGUUUUGAGAAGUAGUAUUUUAAUCUAUGUUCUGUGAAUGACAAGUGUUAUCUGUCAAGUGUCAAAAAACUUGAAAAACUUUUACGAAGUUUUUGAAUUAUGUUAAAUUUGUUUAUAAACACAAGUAAGUAUAGAUUAUUACACUAAAUUAAGGCAUUCUAUCAAAAAUGAAAACAACCCAAGUUUCAAUAACUACUCCUGUAACUUUGGUUUCUUCAUAUCAAAUAAUCAAUUUCAUUUUCAGUGCCAAAGGCAAGAAUAAUAGCCCACGCCAGAUGGAGACCCAGCUAAAUAAUGUAGUAACAGCGCGUGGUCGUGUGAUGAGGGUUCCUUGACUUGAGUUCUGGCGCAACACGUCCUGGGCACUAAACAAGAUUGGGGAUGGGACGUCUAAAGAGGUGCAAGCCUGGAAAACGCUCUCGUCUUGCUCUACAGCACUUGCACUUGUCCCACCAUCUACCAGUGUUGGAACUCUUCCAAUAAUUUCCCACACCCAGGUGGAGAAUACUCCAGUUACUGCUACUGCUACUCUAAAAUAUCUCUCAUCUUGUUCUACAGCGCCUGCACCUGUCCUACCAUCUACCAGUGUUGGAACUCUUCGAAGUGUAUUAAUGAUUAUUAUUUUAGUAACCAUAAAAGUUUAAAACAAUACAUUUUAUUGCAUAAUUAUUUGUUAGAAAAAACGACAAGUACAAAUGAGUAGGGAGGCUGUUGAUUUUUCAUGGUUAUUUUAUAUCUUGUUGUUCCAAAAAAAAACUAAGUUUUCAAGAAUGCUGUGAUUUAAAGUACCUAUAGUAUUAUAUUUAAAAUAAAAACUUAGUUUGUAAAGAGACGAAGGCUGACCACAAAAGAAGUACUUAUAGCUGUCUGUGUAAAGAAUUUAAAUAAAAAGAUGUGUAUAUUUGAACAGUUUUCUUUAUUUUAUUAGUCAUUUAUUCCUGUAAAUAAGCCCACACAGGGCACUUUUACAUGUCCCAACAUAACUUUACCCUACCACUUUGGCAGUAUUGUGGGUUAAGGCUGAUUAAAACGUGUUAAGUAGGUACCUACCUAACUACUUUAUUGACUUAAUUUUAAGUAAUUAAUUGCGUAGUAGUAUAGUACAAAACUUAGUGUUGAUGAAAAAGAACUCUUGUGUCUCACUAAAACUUAUUUCCAUUAACACCAAGCACUCACCGCUUACCACACUUUAUCUU